CAAACAGUAGGUUGCACUUCUGGGUAACCUUACCUGCAUCCCACGAACUGCUGUCUGGGCACCUGGUCCCAUCGCAACACAAUUUUGAUACUGUUGCAGGAUCUCAGUCAGGCUGGAUAUGACAAGGCAACAGCGUCUCGUUUAUCGCUAUCUACAAAGAAUUUGAAGAGAGUAGAGACUCGGGAAACAUUGCAGCAGUAAAGUCAUCAGACAUAGUAAGCAAGGAAAGUUGGCAUUCUCUCGAAAAUGUCUCCGAAGGAACUUUAAUGAAAAUCCUGUCAUUGAAAGAGGGGGCGAGAGCUGGUUCGCAGAAGAAGCUCGAAGCUCGAAGCUGACAUCUUGAGGAGAGCGGCUGAAGACCCGAUUGCAAGCUUGUCUGUAAGCCAAGACCUAGUCCGACAUGCGCUAUGCUAAUUGUAAGGAAGAAUAGAGUAAACUGGUCUAUUGCUCUAUCCCUCUUGAACUAUGAGUUAGAUGUUCGGGUUGGCAGCUCUGAGUUCUGAGCUAUAGAUGCUAGAGUCCAGACUAGUUGGAUGAGAUAGGAACAAAAUCGAAGCCACUCUAAAGAUCAAGGAUGAAUGUAAAUAUGAGUAUAAUCGAUGCGAACUUAUCAAGA
Molecule: non-coding RNA, 616 nt
Organism: Sesamum indicum (sesame)
Lineage: Eukaryota; Viridiplantae; Streptophyta; Magnoliopsida; Lamiales; Pedaliaceae
Source: RefSeq, a predicted model, not a curated record